This 422-nucleotide ribosomal RNA is filed under the name uncultured prokaryote. Its description in RNAcentral is "bacterial SSU rRNA". It matches the Rfam family "Bacterial small subunit ribosomal RNA", at positions 355 to 774 of the family's 1533-position model. The record is from RNAcentral.
UGAGGAAUAUUGGUCAAUGGGCGCAAGCCUGAACCAGCCAUCCCGCGUGAAGGAUGAAGGCCCUAUGGGUCGUAAACUUCUUUUAUAUGCCAAGAAAGGUGCCCACGUGUGGGUAUUUGACGGUAGUAUAUGAAUAAGCAUCGGCUAACUCCGUGCCAGCAGCCGCGGUAAUACGGAGGAUGCGAGCGUUAUCCGGAUUCAUUGGGUUUAAAGGGUGCGUAGGCGGUUCUUUAAGUCAGUGGUGAAAUCCUGCGGCUCAACCGUAGAACAGCCAUUGAUACUGAAGGACUUGAAUAUAAUUGAGGUAAGCGGAAUGAGUAGUGUAGCGGUGAAAUGCUUAGAUAUUACUCAGAACACCAAUUGCGAAGGCAGCUUACCAAGCUAUAAUUGACGCUGAGGCACGAAAGCGUGGGGAUCGAACA